RNAcentral lists this microRNA precursor (93 nucleotides) under Prunus dulcis (almond). Its description in RNAcentral is "sRNA ncRNA". Lineage: Eukaryota; Viridiplantae; Streptophyta; Magnoliopsida; Rosales; Rosaceae. The record is from RNAcentral.
AAAAGCAGUGGCCUUUUGAAAGCAGCUUUGAAAAGCAACCCAAAGCCUGCUUUUAAAAGCUGCUGUCAAAAGACCACUGCUUUUAAAAUAAUC